UGUUGUUGUUUAGUCGUUUAGUCGUGUCCGACUCUUCGUGACCCCAUGGACCAGAGCACGCCAGGCACUUCUGUCCUCCACUGCCUCCCUCAGUUUGGCCAAACUCAUGCUGGUAGCUUCAAGAACACCAUCCAACCAUCUCAUUCUCUGUCGUCCCCUUCUCCUUGUGCCCUCCAUCUUUCCCAACAUCAGGGUCUUUUCCAGGGAGUCUUCUCUUCUCAUGAGGUGGCCAAAGUAUUGGAGCCUCAGCUUCACGAUCUGUCCUUCCAGUGAGCACUCAGGGCUGAUUUCCUUAAGAAUGGAUACGUUUGAUCUUCUUGCAGUCCAUGGGACUCUCAAGAGUCUCCUCCAGCACCAUAAUUCAAAAGCAUCAAUUCUUCGGCGAUCAGCCUUCUUUAUGGUCCAGCUCUCACUUCCAUACAUCACUACUGGGAAAACCAUGGCUUUUACUAUACGGACCUUUGUUGGCAAGGUGAUGUCUCUGCUUUUAAGAUGUUGUCUAGGUUUGCCAUCGCCUUUCUCCCAAGGAGCAGGCGUCUUUUAAUUUCGUGACUGCUGUCACCAUCUGCAGUGAUCAUGGAGCCCAAGAAAGUAAAAUCUCUCACUGCCUCCAUUUCUUCCCCUUCUAUUUGCCAGGAGGUGAUGGGCCCAGUGGCCAUGAUCUUAGUUUUUUGAUAUUGAGCUUCAGACCAUAUUUUGCGCUCUCCUCUUUCACCCUCAUUAAAAGGUUCUUUAAUUCCUCUUCACUUUCUGCCAUCAAGGUUGUGUCAUCUGCAUAUCUGAGGUUGUUGAUAUUUCUUCCGGCAAUCUUAAUUCCGGCUUGGGAUUCAUCCAGCCCAGCCUUUCGCAUGAUGAAUUCUGCAUAUAAGUUAAAUAAGCAGGAGACAAUAUACAGCCUUGCCGUACUCCUUUCCCAAUUUUAAACCAAUCAGUUGUUCCAUAUCCAGUUCUAACUGUAGCUUCUUGUCCCACAUAGAGAUUUCUCAGGAGACAGAUGAGGUGAUCCGGCACUCCCAUUUCUUUAAGAACUUGCCAUAGUUUGCUGUGGUCGACACAGUCAAAGGCUUUUGCAUAGUCAAUGAAGCAGAAGUAGAUGUCUUUCUGGAACUCUCUAGCUUUCUCCAUAAUCCAGCGCAUGUUUGCAAUUUGGUCUCUGGUUCCUCUGCCUCUUCUAAAUCCAGCUUGCACUUCUGGGAGUUCUCGGUCCACAUACUGCUUGAGCCUUCCUUGUAGAAUUUUAAGCAUAACCUUGCUAGCAUGUGAAAUGAGUGAAAUUGUGCGGUAGUUGGAGCAUUCUUUGGCACUGCCUUUCUUUGGGAUUGGGAUGUAGACUGAUCUUCUCCAAUCCUCUGGCCACUGCUGAGUUUUCCAAACUUGCUGGCAUAUUGAGUGUAGCACCUUAACAGCAUCAUCUUUUAAAAUUUUAAACAGUUCAGCUGGAAUACCAUCACUUCCACUGGCCUUGUUAUUUGCAGUGCUUUCUAAGGCCCAUUUGACUUCACUCUCCAGGAUGUCUGGCUCAAGGUCAGCAACCACACUACCUGGGGUGUACGAGACAUCCAUAUCUUUCUGGUAUAAUUCCUCUGUGUAUUCUUGCCACCUCUUCUUGAUGUCUUCUGCUUCAGUUAGGUCUUUACCACUUUUGUCCUUUAUUAUGGUAAUCUUUGUACGAAAUGUUCCUUUCAUAUUUCCGAUUUUCUUGAACAGAUCUCUGGUUCUUCCCAUUCUGUUGUUUUCCUCUAUUUCUUUGCAUUGCUCGUUUAAGAAGGCUUUCUUGUCUCUCCUUGCUAUUCUUUGGAAAUCUGCAUUCAAUUUCCUGUAUCUUUCACUAUCUCCCUCGCAUUUUGCUUGCCUUCUCUCCCCCGCUAUUUGUAAGGCCUCGUUGGACAGCCACUUUGCUUUCUUGCAUUUCUUUUUCAUUGGGAUGGUUUUAGUUGCUGCCUCCUGUAUAAUGUUGCGAGCCUCCACCCAUAGUUCUUCAGGCACUCUGUCCAGCAAAUCUAAAUCCUUAAACCUGUUCCUCACUUCCACUGUGUAUUCAUAAGGGAUUUGGUUUAGAUUGUAUCUUACCUGUCCAGUGGUUUUUCCUACUUUCUUCAGUUUAAGCUUGAAUUUUGCUAUAAGAAGCUGAUGAUCUGAGCCACAGUCAGCUCCAGGUCUUGUUUUUGCUGACUGUAUAGAGCUUCUCCAUCUUUGGCUGCAGAGAAUAUAAUCAAUCUGAUUUCGAUGUUGCCCAUCUGGUGAUGUCCAUGUGUAGAGUCGUCUCUUGUGUUGUUGGAAAAGCGUGUUUGUGAUGACCAGCUUGUUCUCUUGACAGAACUCUAUUAGCCUUUGCCCUGCUUCGUUUUGAUCUCCAAGGCCAAACUUGCCAGUUGUUCCUUUUAUCUCUUGAUUCCCUACUUUAGCAUUCCAAUCCCCUAUAAUGAGAAGAACAUCCUUCUUUGGUGUCACUUCUAUAAGGUCUUGUAAGUCUUCAUAGAACUGGUCAAUUUCAGUUUCUUCAGCACCAGUAGUUGGUGCAUAAACUUGGAUUACUGUGGUGUUAAAAGGUCUGCCUUGGAUUCGUAUCGAGAUCAUUCUAUCAUUUUUGAGACUGCAUCCCAGUACAGCUUUCGCCACUCUUUUGUUGACUAUGAGGGCCACCCCAUUUCUUUUACGGGUUUCUUGCCCACAGUAGUAGAUAUGAUAGUCAUCCGAACUGAAUUCGCCCAUUCCCGUCCAUUUUAGCUCACUGAUGCCCAGGAUGUCAAUAUUUAUUCUUGCCAUCUCAUUUUUGACCACAUCCAACUUACCCAGGUUCAUAGUUCUUACAUUCCAGGUUCCUAUGCAAUAUUUUUCUUUACAGCAUUGGACUUUCCUUUCGCUUCCAUGCAUAUCCACAACUGAGCGUCCUUUCGGCUUUGGCCCAGCCGCUUCAUCAGCUCUGGAUCUACUUGUACUUGUCCUCCGCUCUUCCCCAGUAGCAUGUUGGACACCUUCCGACCUGAGGGGCUCAUCUUCCAGCGUCAUAACUUUUAUAUGCCUGUCUUUGUCCAUGGAGUUUUCUUGGCAGGGAUACUGGAGUGGCUUGCCGGUUCCUACUCCAGGUGGAUCACGUUUGGUCAAAACUCUCCACUAUGACCUGUUCAUCUUGGGUGCCCUGCUUGGCAUAGUUCAUAGCUUCUCUGAGUUCUUCA
Podarcis lilfordi (Lilford's wall lizard) is the source of this 3176-nucleotide non-coding RNA. The record is from the annotation of a GenBank genome assembly. Lineage: Eukaryota; Metazoa; Chordata; Lepidosauria; Squamata; Lacertidae.